This 492-nucleotide ribosomal RNA is filed under the name uncultured bacterium. RNAcentral describes it as "partial 16S ribosomal RNA". It matches the Rfam family "Bacterial small subunit ribosomal RNA", at positions 29 to 507 of the family's 1533-position model. The record is from RNAcentral.
AGUGAACGCUGGCGGUAGGCCUAACACAUGCAAGUCGAACGGCAGCACAGUAAGAGCUUGCUCUUACGGGUGGCGAGUGGCGGACGGGUGAGGAAUACAUCGGAAUCUACUUUUUCGUGGGGGAUAACGUAGGGAAACUUACGCUAAUACCGCAUACGACCUACGGGUGAAAGCAGGGGAUCUUCGGACCUUGCGCGAUUGAAUGAGCCGAUGUCGGAUUAGCUAGUUGGCGGGGUAAAGGCCCACCAAGGCGGCGAUCCGUAGCUGGUCUGAGAGGAUGAUCAGCCACACUGGAACUGAGACACGGUCCAGACUACUACGGGAGGCAGCAGUGGGGAAUAUUGGACAAUGGGCGCAAGCCUGAUCCAGCCAUACCGCGUGGGUGAAGAAGGCCUUCGGGUUGUAAAGCCCUUUUGUUGGGAAAGAAAAGCAGCAGGUUAAUACCCCGCUGUUCUGACGGUACCCAAAGAAUAAGCACCGGCUAACUUCGUG